AUUGAACGCUGGCGGCAAGCCUUACACAUGCAAGUCGAACGGCAGCGGGCCCUUCGGGGUGCCGGCGAGUGGCGAACGGGUGAGUAAUGCAUCGGAACGUACCCGGGAGAGGGGGAUAACCGGCCGAAAGGCUGGCUAAUACCGCAUGAACUCGGAAGAGCAAAGCGGGGGACCUUCGGGCCUCGCGCUCUCGGAGCGGCCGAUGUCCGAUUAGGCUAGUUGGUGGGGUAAAGGCCCACCAAGGCGACGAUCGGUAGCGGGUCUGAGAGGACGAUCCGCCACACUGGGACUGAGACACGGCCCAGACUCCUACGGGAGGCAGCAGUGGGGAAUCUUGGACAAUGGGCGCAAGCCUGAUCCAGCAAUGCCGCGUGGGUGAAGAAGGCCUUCGGGUUGUAAAGCCCUUUCGGCGGGGAAGAAAUCGGUCAGGCGAAUAGUCUGGCCGGAUGACGGUACCCGCAGAAGAAGCACCGGCUAACUACGUG
This 485-nucleotide ribosomal RNA is filed under the name uncultured bacterium. Its description in RNAcentral is "partial 16S ribosomal RNA". It matches the Rfam family "Bacterial small subunit ribosomal RNA", at positions 28 to 507 of the family's 1533-position model. The record is from RNAcentral.